Non-coding RNA from Ricinus communis (castor bean), 108 nucleotides. Lineage: Eukaryota; Viridiplantae; Streptophyta; Magnoliopsida; Malpighiales; Euphorbiaceae. The record is from Rfam.
AUAUCAAUGAUGUGGGAAUUGCAGCAAAAGUGAUUUGAAGCAAUCCCAUACUUCAUGAAAGGAUUCAAUAUUCUUUUGAUAAAAGUUAGAAAUUUUAGCCCUUAAUUU